CAUCUUAUUGUUAGAACGCCCUCAGUCUCCGGCGUCAGUAUGUGAUUGUGGUUUGAACUGGUACCCGGAUCUGAAGCACGUGAGCUGAAAACUUGUGAAAAAGCAGAAAAACUACAAAUAUAAUGUUCAAUUAACAUUGAUUCCACAGUCGUACACGAAUAAUGGAGAAAGAAUUUCACAAUUUUCCAUCGAAAUAUAUGGAUCAAUCUUCAACACAUUCCUGUGGACGGGCUGUGUCUGACAUAUCACGAGUAUUGACUACUGGCGGCUGGACAAUGGAUGCCUGAGGCUGUAAGACUGAGGAUACAAGGCAGGUUCUUUGAAAAAUUCAUUCUUCAAUAUCAAAGUAAAUUUCAUCAGAGGUGGGGCGAGGCGAUGCAAUCAACGGCGGAAAGUAACUAAUUAACGUGCGACGCGUAUAAAAGUAACCGAACGACAUUAGGAGCACGUAGGAGAG
Molecule: non-coding RNA, 457 nt
Organism: Osmia lignaria (orchard mason bee)
Lineage: Eukaryota; Metazoa; Arthropoda; Insecta; Hymenoptera; Megachilidae
Source: RefSeq, a predicted model, not a curated record